ACAUUUCUGCUCUUAAGCUACGUUAUGAACCAACCAGACCUCUCAGUUCGUCUGUGACAGGUCUGCUUUAUAUGUCAGAGUCAAACUGAACAUGCAGAAGCAGCGUACAGAUUUUAUGCUCUAUACAUAUGGAACAAACUCCCAGAAUACUGCAGCCCUGAGCCCAGCUUCCACCUGCGGGAGAAACUCGUUUGACCGCUGCACUUAUUACUCUCUGAAGUGCUUUACAUAGCCUGCACACUUCACAAGGAAAUGACCCGAGGAAACUGUUUGAUUAACAAUAGCUGUGCAGAUAAACCAGCUCCCUCCUCCCGCUCCGUAAGUUUCACAGAGGCACGACCCACCCAAACGCCACAGCAGAGAGGUGCUUCCUUAUUACCAGAAAACCCAAAAUAACCUCUUCAGUGCAGACCAUCUGAAGGAUGCAAAAGCCCUGGAAAACAAAUAUAGUAAAUAGAUCUGGAAUUAACAAUCAGGGGCCUGUGCUGGGAAGCAGGGUACGCGAGGUAACUUCAGGAUUCAGGCUGGGUUUUCAGUCCUACGAGGGUAGUUCACUUAUGUUCGAGAUAAGAGAUCAACACUAUAAAAGCACCACCUGCUGACCGAUCCGUUCUCUUGAAAAAUGACAUCCCCAGACUGCAGCCUACAGGAGGCGUUGACCAUCAGACAGACGAGUAAAUAAAUAUGCCAAAAGAGUCGCAUGUGAAAAUAAAAUCUAAAAUCUUUAUUUUUCUUCUUAAAUUACAAAGAUGAAUUUUACUGUUAAAGUGCUUUAUAAUCUCAUUAAACUAACAUGUUGACUGAUCUGACAACAGCUGAUAACAUGAUCAGAGAAACAGUUAUUUAGAAACAGACCAUCUGUCAGAUAAAGGCAAAAAAUGGUUGUUCAAUCAGAUUAUUGAUUUGAAGUUUAAUAAAGCUUCACAGGAGGUCAGAGACUAAAACAACCAAACACACCCGUCCUCUUCAUCCUCGUCUUCCUUUCAGCAGCGCUGAAGGAAAAAGGUUUCAAACCUUGUUACAUCGUCUCAGGACACUGCUUGAUGAUUGGCUCCUUCUUGCGUCAGGCUGCAGGUGUUUCUUGGCCCCCGGCUCUCUGUGAGACAUCACCCCAGUAGUGAUGUCACAGCUUGGCCUUGCGGCGGUCUCUGACGGCGUACAAGACGGCGUGAGCUUGGUCGAACGACUCGCCGACGGCCGACUGAACUCUGCUCCUCCAACGCUGCAGCUGAGGACGCUGCUGCAGGACGUCCCUGCCCCCCCCCAGAGGCUGCAGAGAGACACAAUGAGCAUGCUCAGAACCAAUGGCCAAUCACCAAACCCCUCCCCCCACCAUGUGGAGAAUCAAACACUGACAAACCGGUUUUCAAACUGAAAAAAGGAGCGCACCAUUUUUCUACAGAACCAUUUCCGUUUAAAUAAACGCCCUGAACGCAGCCCUGUGAUUGGUCAGCACAGUGUGUCAGUGUUUGUGGCUACAGUAAAUAAAGGGGGCGGGGCUUAGAAAACAUUCAGCUGAUCAAUAUGUAAACCAGAGAGCCUCGGACCUGCAUGAGCUCGCAGACGGCGAGCAGAUCGGCCACAGUGAUGUCAUCGCCACAGAGGAAAGGCUGUCUGCGAAGAAACAUGGACUCCAGUUUGUCCAGGGUGUCAUCGAGCAGAGAGAGCGCACGAUUCAAGCGUGCCUCGUCCACCUGAGAGCCACUCUGAGCCGAGAGGAGCACCUGAGACAGAGACGGGUGGAGACAGACAGACAGACAGAGAGCGAGAGGGGUGUGUGGUUAGAAUAAUUUCUAUCACUUUCCAACUCAAAUCAAUCACUGCUCAAUCUGUUUGUUGAUGAUGUAUUUACUGUGUGUGUUCUUGUACUAGUAUCUUUGUGGGGACCAGUUUUAGACCUUCAUGUGAGGGAUUUUAGUUUGUUAAGCUACCUCCAGCAUAAAGACUUUAGCGGCGUGUAGUCGUGUGUUGGUGUGAUGCCAGGCGGUGUAUUCGUCCACUUUGGCUCGUCUCUCUGGUUGAUGUGGAUACCAGUGCUCCGGCAUGUCGUACUUGAUGGCCAGGUACUUCAGGAUGGCAUCACUACAACACACACACACACACACACACACAC
This is a long non-coding RNA of Micropterus dolomieu (smallmouth bass), 2113 nucleotides long. RefSeq lists it as uncharacterized. Lineage: Eukaryota; Metazoa; Chordata; Actinopteri; Centrarchiformes; Centrarchidae. The record is from RefSeq and is a predicted model, not a curated record. The transcript is spliced from 3 exons.